UUUGCAAUCACACCCUGUGUAGUCCAGUUUUCAGUUUGGUCUUUGUCGAGUCGUCUGCUUUCGUGCUGUGUAUGUUCCGAGUGUUUUCCUGAGUUUUUUUUCCUGUGUUUAUGGUCUUUGUUCCUGGUCCCAGUGUCUCCUGCGACUUUUGAGUUCAUUCAUUAAAUAUUCAGCAUCGUAUCCAACCUGCCUGCCGUCUCUGCAUUUGGGUCCACCUGCUCCACUCAGCCACCUCCAUGACAGUCAAGGAAUACAGCUUUCAUUCCUCGACAGAGGAAGCAGAGGAGGCGACAACCUUGAUCUAAAGAGAAGAACACAUCCUCCACUUCCUGAAAGGCUGGGAGUUCCACGGCAGAACAAAACGCUCGACGGCAAACGUCUUCAAACUCGACUCAAUAAUUCAUUUGUCUGCUUUGAAGUGGUAACAUUUUUUCAAGUGAAUGAAGUGCUACAUUUACCGUACAGAAGCUGGACGAUGGGUGUGCAAAAUGCAGGACAUUGACCUCAGAGACUGACGUUUCCAUCCUGAGUCCCAUGUGUGGGGUUACAUUUAGGCAACAAAAGAACUUUGGUUAAGAUCAGUGAAAGACGUGGUUUCAGAACAAGGUGGGAUUCCUCCACGGGGAUUGAAGCUGCUUCACUUGUCAGCAAACAGGCGGGAUCAUUGCUUUGUACUGGAGCCCUGUUAUCUCUGGCUGUGUGAUAAAGAACUCCACAGAGUUUCCCUAUCUGGAGGAAGAAGAAAGACAACCCCGAGAGACAUUGGAGCCAGCGGUAAAUCAUCACAGAGCUGCACAGAUCAGUUCAUCGGAUCAUGCUCUCCCUGGGAUGACGACGCAGGACUCUGGCUGCUGCUGCGAGAUGACCGGCUGCUCUCACAUUGACAUUGAAAAACACAUCAUAAUGUGAAAAAAAAUAAAAAAAUAAAAUAAGAUAAUAA
This is a long non-coding RNA of Thunnus maccoyii (southern bluefin tuna), 940 nucleotides long. RefSeq lists it as uncharacterized. The record is from RefSeq and is a predicted model, not a curated record. NCBI's taxonomy places the organism in Eukaryota, Metazoa, Chordata, Actinopteri, Scombriformes, Scombridae. The transcript has 5 exons.